Molecule: ribosomal RNA, 497 nt
Filed under: uncultured bacterium
Lineage: Bacteria
Description: partial 16S ribosomal RNA
Rfam family: Bacterial small subunit ribosomal RNA
Source: RNAcentral
GAUGAACGCUGGCGGCGUGCCUAAUACAUGCAAGUCGAGCGAACAGAUGAGGAGCUUGCUCCUCUGACGUUAGCGGCGGACGGGUGAGUAACACGUGGAUAACCUACCUAUAAGACUGGGAUAACUUCGGGAAACCGGAGCUAAUACCGGAUAAUAUAUUGAACCGCAUGGUUCAAUAGUGAAAGACGGUUUUGCUGUCACUUAUAGAUGGAUCCGCGCCGCAUUAGCUAGUUGGUAAGGUAACGGCUUACCAAGGCAACGAUGCGUAGCCGACCUGAGAGGGUGAGCGGCCACACUGGAACUGAGACACGGUCCAGACUCCUACGGGAGGCAGCAGUAGGGAAUCUUGCACAAUGGGCGAAAGCCUGACGGAGCAACGCCGCGUGAGUGAUGAAGGUCUUCGGAUCGUAAAACUCUGUUAUUAGGGAAGAACAAAUGUGUAAGUAACUAUGCACGUAUUGACGGUACCUAAAGAGAAAGCCACGGCUAACUACGUG